RNAcentral lists this ribosomal RNA (403 nucleotides) under uncultured bacterium. Its description in RNAcentral is "bacterial SSU rRNA". It matches the Rfam family "Bacterial small subunit ribosomal RNA", at positions 28 to 416 of the family's 1533-position model. The record is from RNAcentral.
GACGAACGCUGGCGGCGUGCCUAACACAUGCAAGUCGUGCGAGAAAGUUCCUUCGGGAGCGAGUAAAGCGGCGCACGGGUGAGUAACACGUAGGUAACCUGCCCCCCAGUCUGGAACAACUAGAGGAAACUCUAGCUAAUGCCGGAUGAGACCACGAUCCCUUCGGGGGUUGCGGCCAAAGAUGGCCUCUACUUGUAAGCUAUCGCUGAGGGAUGGGCCUGCGGGCCAUUAGCUUGUUGGUGAGGUAACGGCUCACCAAGGCUGUGAUGGCUAGCUGGUCUGAGAGGAUGACCAGCCACACUGGGACUGAGACACGGCCCAGACUCCUACGGAGGCAGCAGUGGGGAAUAUUGCGCAAUGGGCGAAAGCCUGACGCAGCGACGCCGCGUGGGUGAUGAAGGCC